UACGAAGGUGGCAAGCGUUGUUCGGAUUUACUGGGCGUACAGGGUGCGUAGGCGGUUGGAUAAGCCCUCCGUGAAAUCUCCAGGCUUAACCUGGAAAGUGCAGAGGGGACUGUUCAGCUAGAGGAUGGGAGAGGAGCGCGGAAUUCCCGGUGUAGUGGUGAUAUGCGUAGAUAUCGGGAGGAACACCUGUGGCGAAGGCGGCUUUCUGGGCCUUACCUGACGCUGAGACGCGAAAGCGUGGGGAGCGAACCGG
Molecule: ribosomal RNA, 253 nt
Filed under: uncultured bacterium
Lineage: Bacteria
Description: partial 16S ribosomal RNA
Rfam family: Bacterial small subunit ribosomal RNA
Source: RNAcentral